GAAAAAAACCCCUAUCUUACUAGGCCACUCGGAGGAAGGGCUCAGCAGCCGACCUGAGGUAAGCCAGUGUGUGGGGAGACUUGGCUUGAGUGAGCACAGUAAGGCCUGAGGUCUCGGGUGGCGGAACUGAAAGACGCAUCGUCUACCCUGCUCCUGACCAAAGACGUGUUGUGGUCAACCUCCCAGCCCACCCCAAGACAAAUUUGGGUUGAAGCACUCAGAGCUGGGAACACUGACACAACACUGUUACCUGCCCAACCCAUGGAUGGGCCAGCUGUCACGACGGGAACUGUCCUGCUGGAAGUGUCCACAGGGUCGCAGCACUUGUGAAGGGGGUCGGAUGCACGAAAGAGUUGUGAUUUACGAGGGAUGCAAGGAAGCGAGAGAGAAAAAGCAAAAGGAUGAAAGGCUCGCAAGUGGAUCGGGCGGCACCCACCAAAGCUUACUGAAAUGGCAGAUUAUUUUUGUCCGCACAGAGAGGGUGCCAUCUGGAAAUCCCAUGCCAACUAUGCUAAGGUUACCCUGAGUUAGUAAGCCACCCAGACAGGAAGUGGCUUUUGAUUCCAAGUUUAGUGCUCUUUGCACCAAACCACAGGCCUCGCCAGUACAUUACAAAACAAGAAAGGGAGUAAAACAUUUAUCCGACAACGUUUUUUGCCCCACACACCCCUGGCCAUGGGGGGGGGGGCGUCCCAACACUGACGAGGCACUUCGUGUUCAGCAAGUCUUUGGGCCGAAAAGCUAUAAAGUACAUACGGUAUCUGAUUUUCAGAUGUUUGUGUUCUCCUCUUUAUCUAUUUUUGAAAACGAAAGGUGGCUGGCUCAGCUGGGGGUUAUAAUGCAGCGACCUGAGCCGGGCACAAGGCCUGGCGGGUGAUCAGACCGGGAACGCGUCCCUGGUGCAUACCACCACCAAAGACCGACUCUGACUCACAGGCCUGACCUUCAAACUGCAUGCCGGGAAAACCAAACACCAUCCUCGUUCGUUACAGAAACCGGGUAGGGAUUUUUUGGACUCU
RNAcentral lists this long non-coding RNA (1019 nucleotides) under Ursus maritimus (polar bear). RNAcentral's name for it is "lncRNA (ENSUMAG00000010321.1)". Lineage: Eukaryota; Metazoa; Chordata; Mammalia; Carnivora; Ursidae. The record is from RNAcentral.